AGCGUUGCUCGGAAUCACUGGGCGUAAAGCGCACGUAGGCGGCUUUCUAAGUCAGGGGUGAAAUCCUGGAGCUCAACUCCAGAACUGCCUUUGAUACUGGAGAGCUUGAGUCCGGAAGAGGUGAGUGGAACUCCGAGUGUAGAGGUGAAAUUCGUAGAUAUUCGGAAGAACACCAGUGGCGAAGGCGGCUCACUGGUCCGGUACUGACGCUGAUGUGCGAAAGCGUGGGGAGCAAACAGG
RNAcentral lists this ribosomal RNA (240 nucleotides) under uncultured bacterium. RNAcentral's name for it is "partial 16S ribosomal RNA". It matches the Rfam family "Bacterial small subunit ribosomal RNA", at positions 537 to 776 of the family's 1533-position model. The record is from RNAcentral.